Molecule: non-coding RNA, 487 nt
Organism: Hydra vulgaris (swiftwater hydra)
Lineage: Eukaryota; Metazoa; Cnidaria; Hydrozoa; Anthoathecata; Hydridae
Source: RefSeq, a predicted model, not a curated record
GUUUGUAUGAUAUAUUAUUUCAAUAUUUCUUUUGAAUUGUCAUGAACAUUCUCAAUGUUUCUUUCGCUUUGUUUCUUUUUAGGUAGAACAGUUAUUUUCAAUAGGCGGUAAAAAUUUAGUUGAUACAAAUUAAAAAAUUUUGCUCUUACUGACAACAGACACCUUUUUCAGAAUGCAGCAUGAUUGGUCUAAAGAAGAAAAAAAAGUUUAAAAAGUCUAUGUAUUGCUUUCACUGAUGCUGCUUCAAAGUCAAAUAAAAGCUUAACCAAAAUGGAUCUCAUGCAACUUAUUGGAAGAUUAAUUAGGCAUUCUUCUGACUGAUUCAAGAGAAAAUCUACCAAUAUCGAUAUUGAUCGAUGAUGGCUUAUUUAAGUUCAAUCAACUGUUGUGUUUUUUAUUUAUUUUGCAUUUUCCAGUAAUUUUCUUUUUACUUAUAAUAUACUAUCGAUUAUACUCUACAAAACAUAUUAGUUUUUAACUUGGAAAG